This 468-nucleotide ribosomal RNA is filed under the name uncultured bacterium. RNAcentral's name for it is "partial 16S ribosomal RNA". It matches the Rfam family "Bacterial small subunit ribosomal RNA", at positions 28 to 523 of the family's 1533-position model. The record is from RNAcentral.
GAUGAACGCUGGCGGCGUGCCUAACACAUGCAAGUCGAGCGAUUCUCUUCGGAGAAGAGCGGCGGACGGGUGAGUAACGCGUGGGUAACCUGCCCUGUACACACGGAUAACAUACCGAAAGGUAUGCUAAUACGAGAUAAUAUGCUUUUAUCGCAUGGUAGAAGUAUCAAAGCUUUUGCGGUACAGGAUGGACCCGCGUCUGAUUAGCUAGUUGGUAAGGUAACGGCUUACCAAGGCGACGAUCAGUAGCCGACCUGAGAGGGUGAUCGGCCACAUUGGACCUGAGACACGGUCCAAACUCCUACGGGAGGCAGCAGUGGGGAAUAUUGCACAAUGGGCGAAAGCCUGAUGCAGCAACGCCGCGUGAGUGAUGACGGUCUUCGGAUUGUAAAGCUCUGUCUUCAGGGACGAUAAUGACGGUACCUGAGGAGGAAGCCACGGCUAACUACGUGCCAGCAGCCGCGGUAA